RNAcentral lists this ribosomal RNA (253 nucleotides) under uncultured bacterium. RNAcentral's name for it is "partial 16S ribosomal RNA". It matches the Rfam family "Bacterial small subunit ribosomal RNA", at positions 524 to 776 of the family's 1533-position model. The record is from RNAcentral.
UACGUAGGGGGCAAGCGUUGUCCGGAUUUAUUGGGCGUAAAGAGCGUGUAGGCGGCCAGGUAGGUCUGCUGUGAAAACUCGAGGCUUAACCUCGAGAUGUCGGCGGAAACCAUCUGGCUAGAGUCCGGAAGAGGAGAAUGGAAUUCCCGGUGUAGCGGUGAAAUGCGCAGAUAUCGGGAAGAACACCCGUGGCAAAGGCGGUUCUCUGGGACGGUACUGACGCUGAGACGCGAAAGCGUGGGGAGCGAACAGG